RNAcentral lists this ribosomal RNA (253 nucleotides) under uncultured bacterium. RNAcentral's name for it is "partial 16S ribosomal RNA". It matches the Rfam family "Bacterial small subunit ribosomal RNA", at positions 524 to 776 of the family's 1533-position model. The record is from RNAcentral.
UACGAACUGUGCGAACGUUAUUCGGAAUCACUGGGCUUACAGGGUGCGUAGGCGGCGAGGCAAGUCAGGUGUGAAAUCCCACGGCUCAACCGUGGAACUGCGCUUGAAACUGCCUUGCUGGAGUGAGCUAGAGGUAGACGGAACUUCCGGUGGAGCGGUGAAAUGUGUUGAUAUCGGAAGGAACACCAGAGGCGAAGGCGGUCUACUGGAGCUUGUCUGACGCUGAGGCACGAAAGCCAGGGGAGCAAACGGG